Molecule: transfer RNA, 851 nt
Filed under: Bradyrhizobium japonicum
Lineage: Bacteria; Pseudomonadati; Pseudomonadota; Alphaproteobacteria; Hyphomicrobiales; Nitrobacteraceae
Description: partial contains 16S-23S ribosomal RNA intergenic spacer, and 23S ribosomal RNA
Rfam family: tRNA (bases 203-276)
Source: RNAcentral
CUGGAUCACCUCCUUUCUAAGGAUGGUUCUUCAGAAGCUUGCUUCUAUCGAACCGUUUUAGAAACAUCAGUGGCCAACGAUCGUCAGGAUUGUUGAGCUGCAUUGGCGGGAUUUCGCCGUCUUCGUUUCUCUUUCUUCGCGGACGAACACGCGCUGGGCCUGCGAGAGCAGGGUCCCUGGUCCUUGACGGGAUAUGCGUUAGGGGCUUGUAGCUCAGUUGGUUAGAGCGCGCGCUUGAUAAGCGUGAGGUCGGAAGUUCAAGCCUUCCCAGGCCCACCACACUCAUCGGGUAAGCAUUCGUCUUCUGGUUACGGGGCCAUAGCUCAGCUGGGAGAGCGCGUGCUUUGCAAGCAUGAGGUCGUCGGUUCGAUCCCGUCUGGCUCCACCAGAUGGUUUGAUCACCGAGGCUGUGUUUGCAGGUAUUCAACCGUCGUCCGCGAAACAUCACUUCGCACCUGCUAGUCUGGAUAGACAGUGAGGUUGCGUGAUUUCUGACAUCGUAAAGAGGAGAUCGAUCCGAGUUGGAUCGGGCAGCAAGCAAUUGCUGCGCGAACCUUCAUUAUCUCCGGAUCAUUUCGGCGCUCGCGCGCCUUUCAAUGCGGCUCACAAGGCUGCGUCUGAAGGGAAUGCGGGUUGUAAAUGAUCCUUUUAGCGAAGCUUGACCGCCUCGCUAUCGGAACGAUCUUACGAAGCAAGCUGGUCUUUCUAAUCAUUGUCCGGCUGUACGUAGCGUUCAUCGAGGGCGCGUGCCGUAAGGCAAUCGUACAGACACAUUCUGCCGAGUGUGUGGACAUUGAUAAUGAGAGCAAUCAAGUGCCUUAAGGGUGUUCGGUGGAUGCCUUGGCGCUGAG